UCAUCAAAGCGCGUGGGUGGGCCCCUUGUUUCCAGGCUCUUCGCGCAGCCUCCGUGAGGAAGCAGACAGACAGACAGACACACAGACAGACAGACAGACAGACAGGUAGGUGAGUGUGGUCCCGCCGCGGAGCUCGUCUCUCAGACGGACGCCGUCGCGCACCAUGUCGCUUGAGCCUAGAGGAGGAGCCCCUGCCGGGUGUUUUUAACGCGCCAGCGGCGGCGGCGGCGGAGAAAGGGGGGUCGAGAAAUGCGUUUAAAGGAGCCCAGCUGUUGUGUUCGUCCUCACUGUCGACUACAGCCCCGCUGCAGCUCCGCUCACGGCUCCUGUCGCUUCAUGUAACGACGGCACCGCAACCGAGGAGGAGAUCCCCGGGACUAUGUGAGCAUCAUGCUGGCUGUGAGAUGCCUGCUGUUCGCCGCAGUGUGUGCACGGUGCGCAGAGACAGGGCUGAGAGAAUGGGUGAGUCCGGAGGGAAAGCUGCCGCCCGCCGAGGAGGUGGUUCAGCCCAAGCGGCUCCUGCACCAGAUCCACUCCCAUGAGGAGCUGCUCCACAGCCGCCUGGACACGCGGGUCAGAAACCGCCCAGCCGGCGCGCAGCCCGUCCAUCUGGCCCAGAGCAGCUUCCUGGUGGAGGCCUUUGGCGCGUCCUUCAUCCUUGACCUGGAACUCAACCACAAUCUCCUGUCUACAGACUAUGUGGAGCGUCACUUUGAUGAGAAAGGCCAGCUGUCACAGAAUAUGGGAGGCGAGCACUGCUACUACCACGGGAGGGUGCGGGGGCUGCCGGGCUCCUGGGUCGCUUUGUCUACCUGCCACGGCCUGCGGGGGAUGUUUUCUGAUGGAAACUUCUCAUAUGUGAUUGAACCCGUAGGCAGCGGAGAGGAGCAGAACGACCACGUCGUGUAUCGGAUGCCCAGCGUCGACCUUUUCCCUCCGCUCUGUCCGGGAUGCUCGGUGAACAGAACAGAGUCUGACGAGCGGAGGCAGAGGACGAGCGGUGGCGAGGACGAGCUGGAGGACGGGGACGACUUUGAGCCUGAAGAAGUUUUUACAAAAGGCCUGAGACGCUCAAAAAGACAAGUGCGACGAGGCCAGCGCACCGUCCAGACCGAGACCAAGUACAUCGAGCUGAUGGUCGUCAACGACUACGACCUGUUCGUGCAGCUCCGUCGGUCUACGGUUCAGACCAAGAUCUUCGCCAAAUCGGUGGUGAACAUGGCGGAUUUGAUCUACAAGGAGCAGCUCAACACUCGCAUCGUCCUGGUAGCCAUGGAAACGUGGUCGACUGAAAACAGGAUCUCCAUCGGCGACGACGCCUUGCUCACCCUGCGCGACUUCAUGAAGUACAGGAAGGAGAGCAUCAAGGAGCGCUGCGACGCCGUCCACCUCUUCUCUGGCAGGACGUUCAUGAGCAGCCGCAGUGAGGCCGCCUACAUCGGGGGAAUCUGCUCGUUGACUCGGGGCGGAGGCAUCAAUGAGUUUGGCAGCGUCGGUCCCAUGGCCAUCACGCUGUGUCAAAGUCUCGGCCAGAACAUCGGCAUGCUGAGGAACAAGGAGCGAACGGCUGCAGGAUCCUGCAGGUGUCCAGAUCCAUGGCUGGGAUGCAUCAUGGAGGAUACGGGCUACUACCUUCCCAGGAAGUUCUCCCGCUGCAGUAUCGAUGAGUACCUGCGUUUCCUCCAACAGGGAGGAGGCAGCUGCCUCUUCAACAAACCCACAAAGUUGUUGGACCCUUCAGAGUGUGGCAACGGAUACGUGGAGCCGGGAGAGGAGUGUGACUGUGGAUCAUUAGUGGAGUGCUCUCAGAGCGGAGCCAGCUGCUGUAAGAAGUGUACUCUGACCCACAACGCCAUGUGCAGCAACGGGCUCUGCUGCAGGAACUGCAAGUACGAGCUGAGAGGAGUGAUGUGCCGCGACGCUGUGAAUGACUGCGACAUUCCUGAGACCUGCGCAGGAGACUCCAGCCAGUGUCCUCAUAACGUCCACAAACUGGACGGCUACAUGUGCGACGCCGGACAGGGUCGUUGUUACGGAGGUCGCUGUAAGACCAGAGAUGGCCAGUGCAGGACUCUGUGGGGCUACAACUCAGCCGACAGAUUUUGCUACGAAAAGCUCAACUCUGAGGGUACAGAGAAGGGAAACUGUGGCCCGGACUCCGGUGGUCAGGGAUGGGUGCAGUGCAACAAACAAGACGUCCUGUGCGGUUUGCUGCUCUGCACCAACCUGACGGAGAGGCCGAGGUUCGGUGAACUCCAGGGGAAGAUCACCAGUCUGACCAUCCACCACCAGAACAGAUACCUGGACUGUCGGGGCGGUCACGCGGUGCUGGACGACGGCCUGGACCUGGGCUACGUGGAGGACGGGACGCCGUGCGGACCCAACAUGAUGUGUCUGGAGCGCCGCUGCCUCCCCGUCACCACCUUCAACCUCAGCAUCUGCCCGGGCUCCUCCACCUCACGCAUCUGCUCCCACCACGGGACUUGCAGCAACGAGGUGAGGUGUAUCUGCGAUCCGGAUUACACGGGGAAGGACUGCAGCGUGUUUGAUCCGAUCCCCACGCCCACUCCACCGGAGGGCCCUGAGAAGUACAAAGGUCCCAGUGGCACCAAUAUUAUAAUAGGCUCGGUUGCAGGUGCAAUUCUGCUGGCAGCCAUAGUCCUUGGGGGAACUGGCUGGGGGUUUAAGUAAGCGCUCUGGCAUGCCUCCGUCUGUGUGUGCGCCUGCCGUGUGCCUCUGUCGGCUAACGUUCGUGUUGCCUGCGGCUCGUUUCUGAAUGCUGCCCCCUGCUUGCUGCCUCUUCCACACUCACCACCACCACCACCACAGAGAACGCGUGGUCUCUUUAGAGGAGGAACAUCCGAAAGGGAAGAUCUUCGGGGGUUUGAGUCGUCUCUCUGCGCUGCCCUGUCUUCCUUCACACUGUGUGCAAGUCAACUCUGAGAAGACUAAAAAGCAAAGAUGUCUUCCGCUCCAGACUCUUUACGUUUCCUUUUCUGACUUUGCCGACCACGUCCUCGGCCGUCGGACGCCCCGAGGGACUCACAGAUCUAAACAGAGGAGGGCAUCAGGGAUCGUCUGGUUUUGAUUCAUCUCUUUCUUCUAGACACCUUUUUUUUCCAGCCUUUUUGGUUUCCAGCUGAUCUUCUCCUGCACUGACUGUUACUAUGCUUCACCCCUUUAAGUGAUGUCACGGUAGAAAGCACUUCUCAUAACCUGGACAUUUUUAAUUGAAGCCUCAGCCACCUCCUCUCAGUGGUGUGAAUUUACCUGCAAUAGUAUAAAUAUCACCAAAAACUGAAUCUCGUCAUGUGUAGAUGAAGGUUUUUUUUUCCUUUACAUUCCACAGUAAAAGGCUGUAACGUCUAAUCUUAUGCUGCCUUUUCCUUAUGAGACAGUCUUAAACCAGUGCUUCGACGUCAUAUAACGUAUGAAUGUACAGGACUUUGUACUUUACUCCAGCCUCCGGUGUUCUGAAUGUCUGAUCCCGCUGUAUGAUAACAUGUAAUCUGCAUACAAACUAUAUGCAUACAAGUAUGCUGAAAAUACAUGGGUGCUGUUGUAUAUAGUGUCGUUUAGACAGCAGUGACUCACUGCCGCUCUAAAUGGAAGCACAAGCCUGGAGACUGAGACUGAAAAAUGCUCGUUUUGUGAGCAUGUUGGUCAAGUUCAGUAAGAAACGUGAGCUCUUUUUAAUAUCCAGAUGUCGCAGUUAAAGCCUUUGCAGAGAUUUUGAAGUUUCAAGUAGCAAAACUACGACACAAAACAAAAAUUUCUGAGCUCAGAUUUAUGUGGCGGCCCUGAAGGUCAAAGCAAGACAACAUUCCAGAAAACACAACGACAUUUCAGAAAGCACGACAUUUCAGAAAACACCAUGACAUUACAGAUGUCACAAGAUUUCAGAAAACACAUCGAUAUUAUAGAAAACAACAUUUCAGAAAAUACAAUGACAUUACAGAAAACACAAUGACAUUUCAGAAAAGUCGACAUUACAGAAAACACAACAAUGUUACAGAAAACACAACAUUCCAGAAAACACAACGACAUUCCAGAAAACAUGAUAUUUCAGAAAACACAACGAAAUUUCAGAAAAAACGACAUUUCAGAAAAACACAACAACGUUACAGAAAACACGACAAUUCUGAGAAACGCAAUGACAUUCCAGAGAACACAACAACAUUCCAGAAAACACAACAACAUUACAGAGAACCUACCGAUAUUAUAGGAAACACAACAUUUCAGAAAACAUAACGACAUUCCAGAAAACACAACAAAAUUUCAGAAAACACCACAUUACUGAAAACACAAC
Molecule: RNA transcript, 4309 nt
Organism: Mugil cephalus (flathead mullet)
Lineage: Eukaryota; Metazoa; Chordata; Actinopteri; Mugiliformes; Mugilidae
Gene: adam11
Gene name: ADAM metallopeptidase domain 11
Exons: 27
Source: RefSeq, a predicted model, not a curated record